RNAcentral lists this ribosomal RNA (471 nucleotides) under Comamonas testosteroni. RNAcentral describes it as "bacterial SSU rRNA". It matches the Rfam family "Bacterial small subunit ribosomal RNA", at positions 8 to 475 of the family's 1533-position model. The record is from RNAcentral. Lineage: Bacteria; Pseudomonadati; Pseudomonadota; Betaproteobacteria; Burkholderiales; Comamonadaceae.
AGAGUUUGAUCCUGGCUCAGAUUGAACGCUGGCGGCAUGCUUUACACAUGCAAGUCGAACGGUAACAGGUCUUCGGAUGCUGACGAGUGGCGAACGGGUGAGUAAUACAUCGGAACGUGCCUAGUAGUGGGGGAUAACUACUCGAAAGAGUAGCUAAUACCGCAUGAGAUCUACGGAUGAAAGCAGGGGACCUUCGGGCCUUGUGCUACUAGAGCGGCUGAUGGCAGAUUAGGUAGUUGGUGGGGUAAAGGCUUACCAAGCCUGCGAUCUGUAGCUGGUCUGAGAGGACGACCAGCCACACUGGGACUGAGACACGGCCCAGACUCCUACGGGAGGCAGCAGUGGGGAAUUUUGGACAAUGGGCGAAAGCCUGAUCCAGCAAUGCCGCGUGCAGGAUGAAGGCCCUCGGGUUGUAAACUGCUUUUGUACGGACACGAAAACCCUGGGGCUAAUAUCCCCGGGUCAUGACGG